RNAcentral lists this non-coding RNA (29 nucleotides) under Rattus norvegicus (Norway rat). The record is from RNAcentral. Lineage: Eukaryota; Metazoa; Chordata; Mammalia; Rodentia; Muridae.
UGGGAAGAGUUGGUCUUUCAACCUGAUGA